Bombina bombina (fire-bellied toad) is the source of this 3043-nucleotide long non-coding RNA. RefSeq lists it as uncharacterized. The record is from RefSeq and is a predicted model, not a curated record. The transcript has 2 exons. NCBI's taxonomy places the organism in Eukaryota, Metazoa, Chordata, Amphibia, Anura, Bombinatoridae.
UUAGUUCUGUAUGCAUUUCUUUGGUCUUUUUUUUUUUCUCUUAGGACUAUUGCUUUAUAGUUGUGAAUGUGAUAUUUAUUAAAAUGUAUUAUUUGAAUUAAAUAUUUUUUGCAUUCUAAAUUUUAAAUACAGCAAGUCUCCUCCCACAAACAUCAACUUCUUUUUUUUUUUACCUAUCUUUCUAUUCUUUUCCUGAGUUAAUUGCAGAUCAUUGUAGAUAGAGCAGGUAAAAUGGCAGCCUCCCCCCCCCCCCCCCCCUAAAAAAAGAAAGAAAACAAUUGGAGUAAUAUUUUUUUUAUUUAAAAUGUGGGAUUAUCUCACUUAAGAAAUGGGGUAUGUAACUCCUCUGCAGUAGAUACAAUUCAAACUGUAAUAUCCUAACAACCUCACUAUUUUUUUAUUUACAGUUAAUAAUGUAUUCCUGACAGAGCAAGGAUAUGGCUGUUUCGAUUCAUAUUCAAUUCUGGUUUUACAAUAAAUUAUCAAAGUCACUUUUAGGUAUUAAAAAGAUAUCCUUAGUUGAAGAAAAAGCAAUGCACAUGGGUGAACCAAUCACACGAGGCUUCUAUGUGCAGGAACCAAUCAGCAGCUACUGAGCAUAUCUAGAUAUGCUUUUCAGCAAAGAAUAUCAAGAUAAUAAAACAAAUUAGAUAAUAGAAGUAAAUUAGAAAGAUGUUUAAAAUUGAUUUCUCUUUCUAAAUCAUGAAAGAAAAAAUGUGGCUUUCAUGUCCCUUUAAGCAAAGUAUAUCACGUGAAUGAAGUAAAUGAUAAUAUAACUAUUGAAUUUUUUUUUUCUUCUUAAUUUACAUGUUCUAUCUAAACUAUUUUUUCUCAACCACUGUCAGCAAGUACCCCAAACUGGCCAAGUUUUCAUUAUAGCUGAACUAGUGCACAGGUGAAAUAAUCAGCUGAUGGCUGAGAGCAGGUUAGUAACCAUGGUUGAUUUUCACCUGUGCACUGGUUCAGCUAUAAUAAAAGCCUGGCCUGUUGGGGGUACUUGAGGAAACACUGAUCUAAACCAUCCAUGAAUGUUUAAUGUUACUAUUCCUUUAAAGUUAACAUAAUCAGAAACCUUUCAGCAUUAUUUGUGCCCCUUUAUAACAGCAUAUUUUAAUUUUUCUUUGUAAAAAUAUAGUGAUUUGGAAGCAAAAGACCAGAUUUAUGUUGCAAGACGCACAUUUUUGCAAGAAUCAUUCCACACCUUUCCAUUCUGAAAAUUUUUCUUUGUAAAAAUAUAGUGAUUUGGAAGCAAAAGACCAGAUUUAUGUUGCAAGACGCACAUUUUUGCAAGAAUCAUUCCACACCUUUCCAUUCUGAAAAUUAUUUUAGCCUGUUAAAGCAGUUAAGAUACAGUAGUACAAAACCUAAAAUGUGAAUUUGUGAAGUUUUUUUUUAGUAGCUUUUAGAUUCCUGUAGAUGACAUAUUCUCAUGCAUUUAAACCAUAAUGCCCGAUGUAGAGGAACAGUGUGGUUUUUUUUUUCCUUGUACAGUGUGUGUUAUUGCUUUGAUCAAAAUAACAAAGCACACAAGGCUAGUUUCCCUUAAGAAAUAGACUUUCCAUUUCUGGAGUUUAUAGAAUUGAGGUAUCCAUUUUAGAAUCCUUUGUGCAUCACUAUUUUCUACUGUUCUGAUAUUUUCUCUAAAUAUCUUCAGUUAGAAUUUCUUUCUUUCAUACAAUGAUGCUAAAUUAUAUGCUUGUAGUUUUUUUUUUUUUACUUGACAAUGACAUGGUUAAAAUGACUGUUAAACCUGGCCUAUAGCUCCCUUUUUCAUAGUUGUACAAAUAUAGUGAAUAGCUUGUUUUUCUGCUGGGUAGUGUUGUCUGCAAUUAAUUGUGCAAUGGUAUAUGAUUGUUCAAAGUGUGGAGUGGUGACGUGUUGUUGUUUUUUAUCAGCUUAAAGGGACAUUAAACACUCCUAACACUCAGCAAUAGUAAGGCUACACUUUUCUUAUAGUAGCUGUGGCAUCACCGGCACUUUGUCGGUCUUUCUGAGCAUGUGCACCAACCUUACCCACAAGAGUGCACAUAUGGCUGGAUCCACAACACAUCUUCAACGUUACUGGAACAAAGUACAACAUAGUUAUUGUUGUGUGUUAGAAUUCAAGAAAAUAAUUAGACCAAAGAGAUGUACCAAAAUGUGAAUAUAUCAAAUUAAGCAGCUUGUUUUCUGGUAGUAAGAGCCAGAAAAUUAUUAAAAUCAUACAGUCAUUACAUUAACAUUAAAAACAGUGUUUACCCAAUGUUUCCAUUUAUAUUUAAAAAGCUAUUUAAUGGUGUGUGUGUAUGUAUAUAUAUAUAUAUGUGUGUGUGUGUGUGUGUAUAUAUAUAUAUAUAUAUAUAUAUAUGUGUGUGUGUGUGUGUGUGUAUGUAUGUGUAUAUAUAUAUAUAUAUAUAUAUAUAUAUAUAUAUAUAUAUAUAUAUAUAUAUAUAUAUAUAUAUACACACAUAUACAAACAAAAACUAGAAUAUCUGAUGACAAGAAAUGUCCUCAGACAAGCCCCAAAAGCGCUCACACUUAAAGGAGUCUUAAUUCUUUGAUAUAUUAAUUCAAGAUCAUGUAAAUCUAUAAUAUAUACAGAAGAAACCAAGCAGACAGUCUCAAAAGGCUAAGGUAAGUCCCUCUGACUUUUCUAAAAAAUUGAAAUACAAAAAAUAUGAGCUGGCGCUAUAAGCAGCUCAUGUCCAUAAGCUGUAGGUAAUCUAAAUAAUUUAAAUAAUUAUCCUUAUAAGUACUACUUGUCACUGACAAGAGAUAAAAGGCAUAUAUGGUGUACUAGAAUGUAUGUAUAUGUUGCAUCUAUGGUAUUAUUACUUAAGACAUAUACAAAGCCGUACAAUAUCAGUAUACAAAGAAUAUGUUAUUAUUAGAAAGAAUUAUAUACUGUAUGUAUGAAAAAUAAAAUGAAAUACAAUGAAAUAUAAUAAAAGUCCUAUUUAAAAGGACUUUUCUUAUAUUUCAUUGUAUUUUAUUUUUCAUAUAUAUAUUUUUUUCUAAUAGCAUAUUCUUUGUGUACUGAGAUAUAUAUAUAUAUAUAUAUAUA